CUGCUUAAUUGUAGUCUGCCGAUGUAUUUUUCAAACCCAUUUACCUAAUACUGAUCUAUACUCCAAAAACGAAAGUUUAUGGUUUUAAUCUAUAACAACUUUCAGCAGUGGAUGUCUAGGCUCGCACAUCGAUGAAGAACGCUGCGAACUGCGAUACGUAAUGCGAAUUGCAGAAUUCAGUGAGUCAUCGAAAUUUUGAACGCACAUUGCACUUUCGGGUUAUGCCUGGAAGUAUGCCUGUAUCAGUGUCCGUACAUCAAACUUGCCUUUCUUUUUCUGUGUAGUCAGGGAGAGAGAUGGCAGAAUGUGAGGUGUCUCGCUGGCUCCCUUUUCGGAGGAGAAGACGCGAGUCCCUUUAAAUGUACGUUCGCUCUUUCUUGUGUCUAAGAUGAAGUGUGAUUCUCGAAUCGCGGUGAUCUGUUUGGAUCGCUUUGCGCAUUUGGGCGACUUCGGUUAGGACAUUAAAGGAAGCAACCUCUAUUGGCGGUAUGUUAGGCUUCGGCCCGACGUUGCAGCUGACAGAGUGUGGUUUUCUGUUCUUUCCAUGAGGUGUACCUGAAUUGCGUGAGGCAAUGGUCUGGGCAAAUGGUUGCUGUGUAGUAGGGUUUUGCUGCUCUUGGACGCCCUGUUUUCGGAUAGGGUAAAGGAGGCAACACCAAUUUGGGACUGUUUGCAAUUUAUUG
This 683-nucleotide unclassified non-coding RNA is filed under the name Pythium aphanidermatum. RNAcentral describes it as "partial contains ITS1, 5.8S rRNA and ITS2". The stretch from base 97 to 251 matches the Rfam family "5.8S ribosomal RNA". The record is from RNAcentral. Lineage: Eukaryota; Oomycota; Peronosporomycetes; Pythiales; Pythiaceae.